CACGACCACUAUAACUGCCAUCAUUAUCACCAUUAAAUGUACCCUUUUUUCCAAGUAGUUCUUGAACUGCUUUCAAAGUAAAAGGGCACAAAAAAUUAUCAAUAUUAGAGCAGUAGUGUGAGGCUUUGCUGACAGUGGAACUGCCUCAAAAACAACAUAUUAAUUCUGUUCAGAGAAUGAACUGAUACUCUAAACAAAAAAAAAGAUAUACAAAAACA
Molecule: long non-coding RNA, 218 nt
Filed under: Olea europaea (common olive)
Lineage: Eukaryota; Viridiplantae; Streptophyta; Magnoliopsida; Lamiales; Oleaceae
Description: long non-coding RNA (OEUR_LNC008527)
Source: RNAcentral